UCGACUUUUUUAUGUGUGUGCUUAGGCUAAUUUGAGCCAGGCUGUCUGUCACUUGCAGAAGAAAGAGUUCUAACAUCACCAUGGCUGCUGUCAUGUCCACCAAAUCGUGACCACCAUCAGGCCACCCUGGUCUAAUGAUGAGCACCUAGUAACCCAUGUGAGAAAACUCCAGACUCACCUGUUCCCUCACCCUCCACCUCUUCUAACUGCUUCUCAGAGACACCCCGGAGGAGACUUUAAGGCAGGUGGCCCAUCUGUCCCAGGCACCCCUCCCUCGUGCGUGCCCCGCAACCCAUUCCCCCGCUUUGAUCCCUUCAGGAAAAUCUCUCCAGGUUUUCCUUACUUCUGCUUCGUUUACUUGGUAUUCUUAGUCUCGGAGCUGAUAAGCAACGAUUCCAGAAAGAGGACCACGUUUGGUGAUAAGCGCACAGGAAUACAAGGGAGGAGACUUCGUUUUAGUCCCGACUCCGCCACUAGAUUUCUGAACUUUGGGAACCUUUGAGGAUGUUGGACCUCAGUUGUAAAACCUUCUCAUUCUGAGGUCCAUAGCCCCAAAAGGUGUCCCCAGAAAUAGAAGGAGGGGAUCCCUGGUUGCUGAGAAGGUAGGAAACGAUCAGGGGUGGCUGGAGUCAGAGGCCUGAAUAUUAUCACCACCUUCUAGCUUCUCUUCAGCCCUCCUUUCUCUAACGCCUCCAUUUGUAGGCUCCCGUUGUGUGGUCACAUGACAGCUCUAGCAGCUCCAGAGACCAGGUGCCUCUGGGUUCCCAGCCUGGGGAGCGCGCUGUCUGAGCAUCUCCAGCAAAAGCCCUACACUACUCUAACUGCCCUAGCUUGGGGCACGUGACUCCCUGAACCAGGUGCUGGCCGGGACAAUGCCGUGUGCUGGCUGACUUAGGCCUGUGUCAUAUGCUGCACCCCCAAUUCUGAGGCACUGGAGGUGGGAAGGCUCCCAGACUUCGGGGCUGUUGCUGAUAGAAAGGAGGACGGCUCUUGAGACGCACUUGUGUCACACUCAUCAUUUCAUCAACAGGGAGGACAUGAGCCUGGAGCUGCCAGAGACCACGAUGGGAAGGGCACCCAAGAGAGAGAAGGCAGCAUAGAGAUGGGGAAACUGGGCACAGAGAGGUUGAGUGACCCACCCAAGGUCACACAGCUAGGAAUCCUCCACGUGCCAGGACUCUGAAGGAGACGGGUGGUCGCCACAGUCCGGAUGUGCCAUAGAUGUGCCACUUCGUGCAGAGGCAGCAUGAACUCGCCUUAAAUCCCCUGGGGAGACAAAGUCGUUUUCUUCUCAGUGAUUCUGGUUACAGACAGAGGCUCUUUUGGGUGCUGCCCUUUGACACCGUGAAACCCUCGCUGCUCUGCCUUCCUCCCCACAGAGGGAGAAAACCUCAAGCUCGGCGCCCCGAGCAGGCAGCUCUAUGGAAUAUCAUUUGAUUUGGUUUGGCUGGGUUUGUUUUAACUUAGGGCAAGCAACACUGGUUUUCCAUUUCUUUGUCUUGGAAAUGAAUUUCAGUUUAAAAAGGAAGUCAUUUUGGGGCGCCUGGGUGGCU
Long non-coding RNA from Callorhinus ursinus (northern fur seal), 1553 nucleotides. RefSeq lists it as uncharacterized. The record is from RefSeq and is a predicted model, not a curated record. Lineage: Eukaryota; Metazoa; Chordata; Mammalia; Carnivora; Otariidae.